Long non-coding RNA from Helianthus annuus (common sunflower), 1503 nucleotides. RefSeq lists it as uncharacterized. NCBI's taxonomy places the organism in Eukaryota, Viridiplantae, Streptophyta, Magnoliopsida, Asterales, Asteraceae. The transcript has 3 exons. The record is from RefSeq and is a predicted model, not a curated record.
CCAUCAUUUAAACUAACGAAGCCCUUUUGAUUCCCUUUCUUCCUCCUAUAUCGACCUCAUCCCCCUCUCUCUCUCUCUUAAUGAUGUGUUUUGGUUGUUAAAAUGAAUCUUUAGGUCACACAUUCAAGAUGCAAGAAAGGCUUGAGUGUUUCUACUUCAGUGAACAGUCGGAAUCAAAAACCCUAGCGGGAGCCAUUUGUCGCCCGCACUAAAGCUAUAGCAUACGCUUCAUUUAGAAUGUGAAUUCUACAUAGCUGUUAAAAGCCAUCGCCUCUUGCGCCUAGGCCAAUUUUUGAGGCGAGGCGAGGCAAUUGCAUUCAAAUUCUCCAGGUGAUGGAUCAGGCGUACAUUCGGGCGAGAUUCCGGAGAGUUUCCGGCAAGAUUCCAGCCAGGUUAGGACAUUAUGUGACAAGGCAAAGGAGAUAUUAAUAGAUGAAAGCAAUGUUCAGGUAUGACUUUUUUUUCUAUUGCGAUUUCAGUAACGGUUGUCGUUAUACUGUAUGGAGUGAUGUACAUUUGCAACCAGUAAAAAGCCCCGUGACUACUUGUGGUGACAUUCAUGGGCAAUUCCAUGAUCUUGCUGAACUUUUUCGUAUUGGAGGAAAGGUAUUAGCAUUAACUCUUUUGAAGGAAACAUGAAGGUCGGGAAUUUAGCUGCACCAGUUGCAGAAUGGACAGUUUGCGGAACUCCAUCGACUUCAUUAAUGGACGUUGAGAGGAGACAUGGUAAAAAAUAAUCAAAUUUGGUGUUUUUUUUUUUUUUUUUAUUAAAAUGAUAUUCAUUUGAAACGAGUCUUAACUCAAUUUUACUAAAACGAAGAAAUUCCAAACCAAAGAGAUUUGCGUUCUAAAUAGUAAUUCGAAAUAAGAAGGAAUUUGUUUAGAGAAUUCGUGUAUUUGAAAAAAAAGAGUUCGCGAUGAUGAUGAUUUGUAUACUCCUGAACUAGAACGCGAGGGGUCAAAUAAGAAACAAAAUAAGUACGAAUGCUUGAAUUACAACAAGGUUUUUACGUCGUUUCAAGGGCUUGGCGGGCAUAGACCGUGUCACAAAAAGAACAAUACGGUCAGGUCAAAACACGACGGUGGCGAAAACAGUUUAGAAGGUGACUUUGCACAUACUCGAAAGGCCGAAAGGCGAAAUACGAUAAGAAAAUGAAGGUGAAAAAGAUCAAAGGGCACGAAUGCCAGAUUUGUUUCAGGAUGUUUAAAUCGGGACAAGCUUUAGGUGGUCACAAACGGUCUCGUUUUAUUAAUGGGUCGAUGGAUCAUUAUGCGACCAUGGGUCACGCGGCUCCAUCGUGUUCGGAUAUGAUUGAUCUUAAUCUUCCUGCUCCAGGAUUGAAUGGUCAACUGGUAAAAAAGUUUAAUUUCUAUUUUGUUGGUUUUUGGAAUAUCAUGAAGUUUCAGAUAGAUCUGACUAUUUGACAAAUAGUGUUGAGCAUAACUCACACAAAACUAACAUUCUCUCAUUUAUGGUGUUAAGUAAAGAUUAUUGGCUCCUCA